RNAcentral lists this ribosomal RNA (254 nucleotides) under uncultured bacterium. RNAcentral describes it as "partial 16S ribosomal RNA". It matches the Rfam family "Bacterial small subunit ribosomal RNA", at positions 524 to 776 of the family's 1533-position model. The record is from RNAcentral.
UACGUAGGGUGCAAGCGUUGUCCGGAAUUAUUGGGCGUAAAGAGCUCGUAGGCGGUUUGUCGCGUCUGCUGUGAAAACGCGAGGCUCAACCUCGCGCCUGCAGUGGGUACGGGCAGACUAGAGUGCGGUAGGGGAGAUUGGAAUUCCUGGUGUAGCGGUGGAAUGCGCAGAUAUCAGGAGGAACACCGAUGGCGAAGGCAGAAUCUCUGGGCCGUAACUGACGCUGAGGAGCGAAAGCGUGGGGAGCGAACAGG